This 253-nucleotide ribosomal RNA is filed under the name uncultured bacterium. RNAcentral describes it as "partial 16S ribosomal RNA". It matches the Rfam family "Bacterial small subunit ribosomal RNA", at positions 524 to 776 of the family's 1533-position model. The record is from RNAcentral.
UACGUAGGGUGCAGGCGUUAAUCGGAAUUACUGGGCGUAAAGGGCUCGUAGGCGGCCAACUAAGUCAGACGUGAAAUCCCUCGGCUUAACCGGGGAACUGCGUCUGAUACUGGAUGGCUUGAGUCCGGGAGAGGGAUGCGGAAUUCCAGGUGUAGCGGUGAAAUGCGUAGAUAUCUGGAGGAACACCGGUGGCGAAGGCGGCAUCCUGGACCGGCACUGACGCUGAUGAGCGAAAGCCAGGGGAGCAAACGGG